CGGUGAUGUGUCAAAGCAAUGCUGCAUUAUCAAAGGCAGGUGCUGAUUCCACUGUUAGCACUUCAGCUUGUACUGCAGAUUUCAAUCAUGUGGCUAACCCAACCUGUGGAAGCUGUCUGCUGCUGCCCAUCAGUCCUCUUCAGAUUGUGCCUGGAAGUCCACUGCAUGUACUGAACAGUCCAAUUUUUUCUGUCUCUCCCUCAGGUCAACUUAGCCAGGAGGUACAAUACCUCACUUUAUUUUCGUCUUUGUUUUUAACUUCAACCCAUCCUUCCUGAACUAUUACUACAAUGCCAAUACCAGCACCCCAGCUGUCAGUCCUACUUAUCAAGCUAAUAUUCCAGUGUCACCAAAUUAUUUAACUCCUGGCUUACCGCAGUUGCCAUCAUCUCCUG
Penaeus vannamei (Pacific white shrimp) is the source of this 395-nucleotide non-coding RNA. The record is from RefSeq and is a predicted model, not a curated record. NCBI's taxonomy places the organism in Eukaryota, Metazoa, Arthropoda, Malacostraca, Decapoda, Penaeidae.